GAUGAAGAACGUAGCGAAAUGCGAUACUUGGUGUGAAUUGCAGAAUCCCGUGAACCAUCGAGUCUUUGAACGCAAGUUGCGCCUCAAGCCAUUAGGUUGAGGGCACGUCUGCCUGGGCGUCACAUAUCGUUGCCUGAUGCCAGUUUCCUCGUGAUGGGUGACUGUGCAGGGCGAAUGAUGGCUUCCCGUGAGCAUUGUUGCCUCAUGGUUUGUUGAAAAUUGAGUCCUUGGUAGGGAGCGCCGUGAUAGAUGGUGGUUGAGUGACGAACGAGACCCAAUCAUGUGAGACCCCUACCGAAUUUGGCCUUCAUGACCCACAUGCGUCUUUGGAACGCUCAUGACGAGACCUCAGGUCAGGCGGGGCUACCCGCUGAGUUUAAGCAUAUCAAUAAGCGGAGGA
This 400-nucleotide unclassified non-coding RNA is filed under the name soil metagenome. RNAcentral's name for it is "partial contains 5.8S ribosomal RNA, internal transcribed spacer 2, and large subunit ribosomal RNA". The stretch from base 1 to 122 matches the Rfam family "5.8S ribosomal RNA", at positions 35 to 154 of the family's 154-position model. The record is from RNAcentral.